RNAcentral lists this ribosomal RNA (564 nucleotides) under uncultured bacterium. Its description in RNAcentral is "partial 16S ribosomal RNA". It matches the Rfam family "Bacterial small subunit ribosomal RNA", at positions 355 to 912 of the family's 1533-position model. The record is from RNAcentral.
UGGGGAAUUUUGGACAAUGGGGGAAACCCUGAUCCAGCCAUCCCGCGUGUGCGAUGAAGGCCUUCGGGUUGUAAAGCACUUUUGGCAGGAAAGAAACGUCGUGGGUUAAUACCCCGCGAAACUGACGGUACCUGCAGAAUAAGCACCGGCUAACUACGUGCCAGCAGCCGCGGUAAUACGUAGGGUGCAAGCGUUAAUCGGAAUUACUGGGCGUAAAGCGUGCGCAGGCGGUUCGGAAAGAAAGAUGUGAAAUCCCAGAGCUUAACUUUGGAACUGCAUUUUUAACUACCGGGCUAGAGUGUGUCAGAGGGAGGUGGAAUUCCGCGUGUAGCAGUGAAAUGCGUAGAUAUGCGGAGGAACACCGAUGGCGAAGGCAGCCUCCUGGGAUAACACUGACGCUCAUGCACGAAAGCGUGGGGAGCAAACAGGAUUAGAUACCCUGGUAGUCCACGCCCUAAACGAUGUCAACUAGCUGUUGGGGUCUUCGGACCUUGGUAGCGCAGCUAACGUGUGAAGUUGACCGCCUGGGGAGUACGGUCGCAAGAUUAAAACUUAAAGGAAUUG